Molecule: ribosomal RNA, 440 nt
Filed under: uncultured bacterium
Lineage: Bacteria
Description: partial 16S ribosomal RNA
Rfam family: Bacterial small subunit ribosomal RNA
Source: RNAcentral
CCUACGGGAGGCAGCAGUAGGGAAUAUUGCUCAAUGGGGGAAACCCUGAAGCAGCAACGCCUCGUGGAGGAUGACGGUUUUCGGAUUGUAAACUCCUUUUGUUAGAGAAGAUAAUGACGGUAUCUAACGAAUAAGCACAGGCUAACUCCGUGCCAGCAGCCGCGGUAAUACGGAGGGUGCAAGCGUUACUCGGAAUCACUGGGCGUAAAGAGCUCGUAGGCGGGAUAGCAAGUCAGAUGUGAAAUCCUAUGGGUUAACCAUAGAACUGCAUUUGAAACUGUUAUUCUAGAGUAUGGGAGAUGUAGGUGGAAUUCUUGGUGUAGGGGUAAAAUCCGUAGAGAUCAAGAGGAAUACUCAUUGCGAAGGCGACCUGCUAGAACAUAACUGACGCUGAUGCGCGAAAGCGUGGGGAGCAAACAGGAUUAGAUACCCGUGUAGUC